CAACCUCGGGCAGUGGCGGACGGGUGAGUAACGCGUAGGAAUCUGUCUUUGGAUGGGGGACAACCGUGGGAAACUACGGCUAAUACCGCAUGAUGCCUGAGGGCCAAAGCUCGCGAGAGCGUCUGAAGAGGAGCCUGCGUCUGAUUAGGUAGUUGGUGGGGUAAAGGCCUACCAAGCCUGCGAUCAGUAGCUGGUCUGAGAGGAUGAUCAGCCACAUUGGGACUGAGACACGGCCCAAACUCCUACGGGAGGCAGCAGUGGGGAAUAUUGGACAAUGGGCGCAAGCCUGAUCCAGCAAUGCCGCGUGGGUGAAGAAGGUUUUCGGAUUGUAAAGCCCUUUUGGCGGGGACGAUGAUGACGGUACCCGCAGAAUAAGCUCCGGCUAACUUCGUGCCAGCAGCCGCGGUAAUACGAAGGGGGCUAGCGUUGCUCGGAAUGACUGGGCGUAAAGGGCGCGUAGGCGGCUUGUACAGUCAGGCGUGAAAUUCCUGGGCUCAACCUGGGGACUGCGUCUGAUACGUGCUGGCUUGAGUAUGGAAGAGGGUCGUGGAAUUUCCAGUGUAGAGGUGAAAUUCGUAGAUAUUGGAAAGAACACCGGUGGCGAAGGCGGCGACCUGGUCCAUUACUGACGCUGAGGCGCGAAAGCGUGGGGAGCAAACAGGAUUAGAUACCCUGGUAGUCCACGCUGUAAACGAUGUGUGCUGGAUGUUGGGGUGCUUAGCACUUCAGUGUCGUAGCUAACGCGGUAAGCACACCGCCUGGGGAGUA
This 768-nucleotide ribosomal RNA is filed under the name Acidiphilium sp. RNAcentral describes it as "bacterial SSU rRNA". It matches the Rfam family "Bacterial small subunit ribosomal RNA", at positions 83 to 882 of the family's 1533-position model. Lineage: Bacteria; Pseudomonadati; Pseudomonadota; Alphaproteobacteria; Acetobacterales; Acidocellaceae. The record is from RNAcentral.